Diachasmimorpha longicaudata is the source of this 1584-nucleotide long non-coding RNA. RefSeq lists it as uncharacterized. The record is from RefSeq and is a predicted model, not a curated record. The transcript has 5 exons. Lineage: Eukaryota; Metazoa; Arthropoda; Insecta; Hymenoptera; Braconidae.
GCAUUUCCUGAUUGUCAUCGUAAUAAUAAUCAACUAAUCAAGAACAGAAUUCAUGGUACAUUGACUCAAUACAUCUGAGUUGUACCAAAGCCAACGCAACCUCCAUCCAAAGCAUAGCAUACUAUUCGUGCAAUAUCCCGAGAAUUACAUAGUUUUGAGCGCAAUGCGGGAACCCCAAGAGAGGAUGCUACCAUUAUACACGCUCGAUUCUCUCCAUGGAAGGUAACUGCACUCGUCUUUGAAAACAUGACACAAAGUUUCAACACAAUUGGUGGACGAGGGGAGGUGGAGUUGGUAUAUGGUGGAUUCAGAUUGAGGGGAGGGAAACUAAUCUGGGGACACUCGGGUGACCCAGCUGGAGAUGUAUUGUCAGACCUCAUCGUUAUAUCUCCAGUGUCGAAGCCCUGAUCUUCGGCGAAUUGAUGCGAAUUUUGGAACUUGUUGAGGGAGAGAUAUUCCCUGGGAUUUUGGCCGGUGGUGAAGAGAUUCAUCUUGAGAACCGGUCCAGCGGAAACGAGAAGGGGUCAAAGAUCCUGGGAUGAGGUGGCAACGAAAAAUCUCAGGGCAGAGGGAGAUCAAGAGGAUUGAAUUCGCAUUCAGGAAUUCAAUUAUUUGAAUUAACGACUGUUGAGGCACAAACACCGAGACGGGUGAAUAAGGAGGGUCCGGAUAAUAACGCGGGAGGAACCGGAAGGCAUAAACCUCGGUGCAACACUACCACUGGGCUCCAGACACUCCUCAGACUAAACAAUUUCCACCUGAAUAAAUGAAAAAAUCAUGUCAUUCAUUUUUCAUUCCAAAACUUUCAUUUUUUGUAGACUGAGAGAGAGAAUUUAACGUUUUGAUAAAAUAUUUAUUUCAUGGGAGAACAUUUGGCUGAGGAGAACAGAUUUAUUUGAAGAAAUUCAACUUGGGAAAGGGUACUUAGAGGUCUCUGAAGCUUUUAUUCCGCCGGAAGUCCAAGAGGGGAGAGAGGGUCUCCAGAACAAUAAUUAAAAAUAUUUAACUAAGAAAAACGUGUUAUUUUUAGAUAGAUUUAUUUUUUCGGAGACUCCUUUUUAUUGAAAGGGUAGUAGAACCCUUUGGGGCCUUAGCGGGCCCUCAUUGGUCGGUAGGAAGCCGGGCACCUUACAUGUUCGACACGCCCCGUCUUUGUAAUCGCGACCCUCACCCCUUCUCCCGACCAAGGGCCUGCCCCUUCUCCCAGGGCUGACCAAAACUGAAAAAUUUAUAUUUCUCGAUCUCGACAUGAGAAGGUCCCUGACAUUAGUAAAAAAUUUUUAACGAGAUAUCGCUCCGGAAUUACGGAACUGACAUUUAAUUUUUAUUGAAUGUUUCUCUCGUUUAAACGAUCUUAUACCCAGUCUCUUCUGCCCUUGAAAAUUCUUAAUUUCCCUCAUAAAUAUUCUAUUUCUCCCCGCAAGUUGAGGAUUGCUUUAGCAGUUAAACUAGCCGGCUUCGUCAUAUGGCAAAAAUUAAAUAAAAAUGAGGAAACAGAGUCAAUUAGCAUUCUCACUGAGGUUGAGGGGGCGAGGAGUGGAGAAAGAGAUUCAGGCGUAAACCGCGCGAUAAAACUCGGAGAGA